AACAAAACUUUCAACUUUGCAGCGAUAUGGCAAGAGGCUUAGUCGAAGAGGCUCAUGCCCAGGUCACCAUCGGACUCCUCCUCGGGCUCUUCCUUCUUCUCUUCCUCCUUGGCAGCCGAUGGAGCAGCAGCACCACUGUCGGCGGCAACUGGGGCAGCAACAGCGAACUUGCUGGGGUCUUUCAAAUACUCCUUGAUCUUAUCAGCAUGUGGGUACGAGUAUUCGGUCUCCACAGCAACAGCAAGCACAUUCUUGUACCCAUUGAGGAACAUGUGUGGUGCAGCAGCAAUAGUUGGGUACGAGAUUGCCAGGGAGACUGAGGCAACCAUAGAAACACCAGAAGCAAACUUCUCCAUCAGGUCAUCCUCAGUGAGGUCAAGCACCUCAG
RNAcentral lists this unclassified non-coding RNA (388 nucleotides) under Hevea brasiliensis (rubber tree). The record is from RNAcentral. Lineage: Eukaryota; Viridiplantae; Streptophyta; Magnoliopsida; Malpighiales; Euphorbiaceae.